AAAGAAUAAGAGGGGGGCCUCGGGAAAAGCUGAGGGAGGAGAAAACCAGCUGCCCUUGGCAGCAACUUUCAGAAGGAAAUAAGCCUCGAGUAGCUAGGGGAGCCUCGGAACCAGUAGAAUAAAAACUUGGCAGCUUACGGGGAGUCCACACGCAGAGAUUGGCGGGGAAAGAGGAGAGCUAAGCUGUCCUUGCAGCUUUGAACCAACACGUGCAGGGAUAGACAGAAAUCAGAGGGCUGCCUUGCGGAAACUGACAGAAAAGGAUAGAGCAAGGCAGCAAGAAAAAUUAGAGGCUUCACUCCAUUUCUCUCGGUUAAAUCUUUCCAAACUUAUAUUUUAUUUCUGUUUUAAUAAUGUGUAACUAAUUUUAUUUUGGCUAGAGGUUAAUUCAAAGCCAUGAAUAUAUUUGUAAUAUGAAUUGAUUACCUUCAGUUGUGAUUUAUAAGUUGUGAUUUAAUUUGCUUAACUGCUUGAUUGAUAACUUAUUUUUGUAUGUCGAUUAAGAAUGCAUGCUUAAUUUACAUGCAUGAAUUUGAUGCUAGAAUAUAAGUGAAUUUCACCUAAUCGUUAUGAACUUAUAUUCAUAAGUAGUGAAGGUUGCUAGUCACAAUCACGUUAAGUAAAUUCUAGGCUGGAUUAACAUGCGUAUUCCAUAGUUAUGAAUGCCUAGUCAAUGUUUAUGAUUUCCGUUGAACUUAAUGAUCUUUGUUGAAUGUCUCUAUCAUGCGUAUUCCAUAGUUAGGGACUUUGAUGAGGAAUAAUUUGGUUGUAAUGCGUAUUCCAUUCAAUCCAAUGAAUCUAGGGAAAUCUAAGAGUUAAUUUAAGCGGACCUAAUUAACUUGGAACAUUGUCAUUCACAAUUUAUUGAAAGAACAACUGAAAAUCAAUUUAGGUUGCAUAUGUGUCAUGUGUGGAGAAGAACCCUCUAGCUAGUCCGUCACCUAUCCUUUCACCUUAAUUUCAUACUUUUGUCAAUUCUGUAAUUUAUUUAAGUUUAAUUUACUUCUCGUCAAAACCAAAUCCCCCCCCCCCCAUUAUUAAAUUAUAUUAUUUAGUAAGUUUCAUUGUUGAUAGUCUUUUAAUUCAAUUUCCGUCCAUUUCAGUUCCUAGUGUCUAAUUUGAUUGUUUUCAUUAUUUUGAGUCAUUCUAAGUGUGUUUCGAGUUAUUAGAGUUUUUAGCCUAGUUUUGUGUCCUUGAGUCUUGUUUAAUAUUUUUAAAUUAAUUUAGAAUAGAUUAGCAAUCCCUCCUAAUCCCCGGCCUAGAACGAUACCCUACUUACAUCUAUAAUACAUUUAAUAAGUUACUCACCUCUUUGAAUCAGGGAGUAGAAAAUCAAAACCAGGAGAUGCAAGAUCGAGUCAAAAGAGUGGACGAAUUGGAUAUGCAAGUUGGGCAGAUUGUGGAAUUCAUGGCACAUAUUCGAGAUCAAAGUGAACUUUCCAACUCAAACAUUGCAAAUUCAAAGGCAGAAAGUGAAAUCGAUGAAGCCAUCACUUUGGAAGGUGACAUGAAGGAUGAAGCUGUCCCAGAACCAUCCAAACACAGCCCGAACAUGGAUGAAAUGCUGCUGCAAGCAGAAGAGGAGGAGGACGACCUGGGCAGUUUAGAAGAAUUCUUGCUGCAAGCUCCUCAAAUCCCUAUGUCAUCCAACUCAGGUGAGGAAGUUCUAAAUUCACUUCAUUCUAACAUUAUUCCACCGAAUGUCCUUUGUCCUUGCAGGUUUUUUAUUCCAAAUAUCAAAGAGAGUGAAAAAGACAUUGUGGAAGCUCUUCCAAAGGUGCAAAGUGAUAUCCCAAUUCUUGGUGCACCAAAACAAGUUCCCGAUGGUAUUGAAACGUUCAAAGAACCUUGCACACCAAGAAAAGGGAUUCAAGAAAAUGAAGUGGUUGAAGCAUAUCAAGAAUACAUCCAAGAGGUUGUGCAUGAGAUAAUCAAGCCCAAAGCAGUUGAGUUUGAUAACACGGGACAAGCCACAACCAUCAUAGUAAACCUGGCCAAGUUCAAAGUCCCGGAAAUGUUCAAAGAUGUGGUGUUUGUCAUUGAGUUUGUGUCAGAAAAAGAAAGUAAGCCAUCUUCUCCAAUUCUAAUUUUAAUUUAUACUAACAUGUUUCUGAUUUUGAUGAUUCAGGCACCCACUCUUGAAUUUAAACCAUUGCCGAAUCAUUUCAAGUAUCACCUCCCAUUAAAAGAUAAAUUCCAUGCUUUGGAGCCGAGGGGAGUUUAAAGGAAAGAUUCGUCCGGCUAAAGACGUUAAAUCAAGCGCUUCUUGGGAGGCAACCCAAGCAUUCAAUGAAGAGAGACUUUGGAAUCGCUAACCAAAUCAGAUUUGCAUUCUUACACCCUUAUCUUUACUGCUUUCAUUUUAUUUUGUUUAGUUAGUUGUGUUAUUUGGUUGAUUUUUGUGAGUUUGUGUUAUUUAGUUUAAGUGUGGGGGAAGGUUAAACAAAGUCUUUUUACAUUGAUUUACAUAUUUUACAUUGAUUUAAAAAAAACAAAACAAAACAAAACACACCUAAAAAAAAUAAAAAAAAUAAAAAAAAUAAAAAAAAAACAUAAAAGUAAAAAUAUUUUACAAUGAUGUGUAAACUAAUAGCAUUCAUUGGUCAGGUGGUGCUUCAGUAGUCGGCGGAGCUUCAGCAGUCGGCGGGGCCACGGAAGGAGGAGGUAUCGGAGGUUGAUUAGUUGGAGCUUCACUACGCGGUGCCGCCCCAGAAGACGAAGGCAGAUGCGGUUGGAACAAACCCACAAACCUCCGGUGAUCAAGUAAAAUCUGACCAUCAUUUUCCUGCAGCUGGUCAAUUUUCCUCUUCAUGUUUGUGGCAUAAUUGUGUGCAAGCUUGUGCAAUUGUUUAUUUUCAUGCUUGAGUCCUCUAAUCUCCUCUUUGAGACUCUGUAUUUCAGCCACCAACGAUUCAACGUGACGGGUUCGAGCAAAUAGGCGUUGGGCCAUGUUGGACACAGAACCCGCACACUGCACGCUAAGAGCCAGAGAUUCCUUAACCGCCAAUUCAUCAGACCGUCUAGCGAGCAGUCUGUUAUCUCUGGGGGUAACAAGGUUCCGGGCCACCACCGCAGCUGUCAUAUCAUUUUUCAUCACCGAAUCCCCCACGGUAAGGGGACCGGUAGAGGAUAUGAAAUAUGGGCGCCAUAUGUUGUCUGGUGAAGGCGGAGCUGCCUCUUCACCAAUGUUCAAGUCAAAACGACGAUCGGAAGGGCCAGACAUUUUUCAGAAUGGUAAAGAAAAAAUAGAUCGGACAGAUUAAGAUUUUGGAAGUGCAAGAAUGGAGUGUUUACAGGAGGGAGCUCAAGUGUGUUGUGGAACAAAAUUAACGCCUCUAUAAAAAGAAGAAAUCAAAGAGGCGCUCCUCAGAGAGGCGUCCUCUCGCAAAUCGAAGAGUCGGGGCUCCUUUCUCAAACGCCUAAUUCUUUUCUCAAAAGAGGAGUUUCCUUCCUCAAAAGCCGGAUUCUUUUCUCAAAAGAGGCGUUUCAUUUCUUAAAAGUUGGGCUUGCUCAGAAACCACGAGCCGAACCCUGGAUUUCAAAAGAUCAAUUUGUCCAGACGUGUGGUCACUCGUCACAUGCAACUAGCAGCUUUGCGGAAAUUAUGGGCAGCUUUGUCAGAAAGCGCGUAAUUUGUACUAUUCAUCCAUCCACCGGCUGCCGACAAUGAGUAAGGGAAUAGUUCCGGUUGUGAAGAAAAGUCCUAUAAGUAUCUACCUUCGCCUUCCCACAGCAAAGGCACACCCUCUCAACACUUCUUCAUCUCCGAGAAUGUAUUCCCAAAGAAACCUUUCUAGUCACUCUGUAUUUUUCAUCCCCUGGGAUACCCCUGCAAACAACCCAUCCAGAGCACAAGUAUUUCAUAUCAUCAAGGUUGAGAGCACGAGUAUCUCAUAUCAUGCUUUCUCCAUGUCCUUUCUCCAGUCAGCCCUUGCUCUCGAGUACUCAUCAUCUUAUGCUUUUGCUUUGUUUCUCACUUAUAAGGGAAGUGAAGAUGAUACCUCGAAGCAUGUGGAGAGAACGUGUUGAUUCAUCCUCAACUAAGGACAAGGAGAAAGAGAGCAAGAGGUGGGCAUUUGGAAAGAUUGAAGAAAGAAACAGACCAACACCUCUCCCUCGUGCCUGCCCGUCGUGCAGAAGAAACAAGCAGAGAAGAAUGCAGCUUGCACAAUCAUCCCAGCAGAAGGAGUCUGAGAUGAAGAACUAGAGAAGCUGCCACAUCUGCUUGGAGAACAAAUAAGGAACUGCAACAUCACCAAAGAGCAAAGCCUCGCCGUACAAUAUCAUCAAAUCAUCACUUGCAAGUAAAAAGCUAAGUGUCACCCCGUUCAAGAGGAAAGCUGUGGAAAGUCAACAAGCACGACCAAUGAUCACUUAUUAGUUCUAUUCAUUGUCUUUUAUCGUGAUUUUCAAUUUUUCGUUUGCAAUUUUUUUUACAUUUUCUUGCGUUACUUAACUGAAUUAUUUCUUUUCUUUGCAGGAAUUUUUGGUUAUUUCCACCCUUGAAGUUGAUUGCAGAAUUUUAGCUUGGGGGGGUCAUCGCUUGAUUUUACUGCAAACUAAGGAAGUUUUCAGUCCAAUUGCUUUAUUUUGUUUCUUAUUAUUUAUUUAUUUUAUUUUUAUUUGCAUUAUAGUGUUUUCUAACAUUGGGGACAAUGUCCAGUUUAAGUUUGGGGGUAAAGAGUAUAAAAAUGACCAAAUUGAAAUUUUUUUUUUUUUGUACCUUCAACUACGAACGAGUUUCAUUUGUUUCCAUGUUGUUGCUUUUUGUUUUCUUAAUUAAUUUUGUUUUCUUUUAAAAAAAAAUUUUAAAAAUCGGAAAAUUUAAAAAUCCAAAAAUAUUGUCUUGUUUCCUUUAUUGUUAUGAAUUAGAUUUUUGUUAGUUUCCCGACCCAAUGAUAUAAUUGGAUCAAAUUUGAACCAUGAUUAUCAAGAACUUAGUUAACAUGUGUUUUGUGAAAUUCCUAAUUCUCUUGUUAGUUUUGUACAUGUUUGACCAUCUUUGAAAAACCAAAUGCACAUAGCCUUGUUAAUGUGAAACUAAAGUAUGACUUAAAGCUUCAUAUGUGAAUUUAGUGACCAUAUACAUCCUAUGUGAGUUUUUGAGCCGAUUGAAAGUGUGUGCAUUUUUCAUACUCCUAUUCUUUCAUGUGUGAUGAACUUAUGUGAGAUACAUCUCUAGAACUUGCGUAACGAUCUUUCGAAAUGUUUGUCAUUGAUUGCAUGAACUUGGAAAUGAUAGAGGCAUCAGGUUUACCACUAUGGCCCAAAUAACCAUGUUUCCCAAAUAUAUCAUUAGAUUGCCAAUUUGAGCCGUGUAUGUUGAGCCUUUUAUUUCUUAUCACCAGAUAUGUCUACCCUUAUACCUGAAACAUUUGUUUUUUUUUUUUCCUUACCCUUUCCAAGCAAGCUAGUGAGCAAUGUGAGAUUGUCUUAUGAGAAAUGUUUGUGAAGUACUUUGAAGGUGUAGUUAUGUGUUUAUCAAAAAAAAAAAAAAAAAAAAAAAAAAAAAAAAAAAAAAAAGGAGAAAAGAAAAAGAAAAAGAAAGAUUGUAUACAAAGAAAAUAAAAAGUUUUUAAAGUUUCAGUUUAAGGGUGUGGUUGGAGGUGCUAGAAGAAUUGCUAGAGAGCUUGAGUUCUUAUAAAUCUAAAGAAAAGAAUUGCUUGCAAUGUAGCUUGGAACUUGUGUUUUCCUAUUCUUUCGUUUCAAUAACCCUAUCCCUAACCCUCAUUACAUCCAAUAAAAGUCCUCUUGAUUUAAGUUUUGCAAUUACGACUGCGGAGAAGUGAUCUUUAUGCAAGCUUAUGGUAGAACUUUCACAUUUGAUUCUUUGAGCGAAACACAUUUAAACUAAACACAUGUGUGAUUGAGUGUAUAUCUCGUGAGAAGGUUGCUAGUUUGCAUAUGAUGAUUUUAAAAAUAUAAAAAAAAUUUGCAUUAGCAUGGCUAUCUCACACACUACACUUCAAGGAUGAUUCAAAGAUUACUGCUAAUAUUUGAAUAAGGAAGAUGAACUUGGAUUAGCUUGUUUGGUGCCAGCUAUGGUUCUUGUUGAUUUGUGUUCUCAAAUGAAAUUCUAUGAGGGUCACAUAGGGGGAAGCUAACGUUUUUCUUGUUACUACUUGUUCUUUUUUUCUUUGUUUUGCUCGAGGACUAGCAAAAGUUAAGUGUGGGGGUAUUUGAUCGGAUCAUAUUUAUAUAUAUUUUUACUUCGAAUUCAUUCGUCUUUUCUUAGUUAGUUCCUUAUAUUUUUGAGCUAUUUACUUUGUUUUUGCGUAUUAUAGGAUUUGUCUAGCAAAGAAAAUAAAAAUAGAACAAGUGAAAUUUUAUGUAAUAAAUUCGUCAAAACUGUCUGUGUAGAUCAGCUUUUAAAUAAAAUUAAAAAAAAAUAAUAAUGAUAAGUCAUGAUGAUGUUUGAAACAUCAUCGUGAUUCAUGUUUUGUAGGAGAGUGUUGGACGGCAAAAACAAAAGAAAAGGAAUAAAGAAUGGAAUGAUGGAGGAAUAAAAGAAACAUAAAGAAAGGAAUGGUGGAAAGAAAAACAGAAAUUGAAUAAGGAAAGGGGAGAAGUGAAAGGCAGCGAGGCUGCCAAAAAGAAAACAGAAAAAUAAAGAGAGAGGGAGAUAGCAUAGAAGCGGGGAGAGGGGAGAGACCAAGGGAAACGAAAUAAUAAAAAAAUAAAAGAAGAAACAGAAGGAUGACAGGAGGGGAGAGAGAGAUAGGGACGGAAAGAAGCAGCCAAGCUGCCUUGAAAGGCAGCGCCAUUUGAAAAGCUAGUGGGAGAGACUGACAGCGAGGUCAGGCGAGCAGAAAGCUGCCUUAGGCAGCGAGAAAAAUAGGGAAGCAGAGAGCUGCCUUGGCAGGUCAGAGCCUUGCAGCGCAGGUCAGAAGGCACGGGCACAGUGAGAAGAAAAUUAGAGGCUUCACUUCAUUUCUCUCGGUUAAAUCUUUCCAACUUAUGUUUUACUUUUGGUUUAAUUUGAUAAUAAUGUGUAAAUAAUUUUAUUUUGGCUAGAGGUUAAUUCAAAGCCAUGAAUAUAUUUGUAAUAUGAAUUGAUUACCUUCAAUUGUGAUUUCUGAGUUGUGAUUUAAUUUGCUUAACUGCUUGAUUGAUAGCUUAUUUUUGUAUGUCGAUUAAGAAUGCAUACUUAAUUUACAUGCAUGAAUUUGACGCUAGAUAUAAGGGAGUUUCAC
This 7193-nucleotide long non-coding RNA is filed under the name Malus domestica (apple). Its description in RNAcentral is "long non-coding RNA (MDOM_LNC005313)". Lineage: Eukaryota; Viridiplantae; Streptophyta; Magnoliopsida; Rosales; Rosaceae. The record is from RNAcentral.